Molecule: ribosomal RNA, 253 nt
Filed under: uncultured bacterium
Lineage: Bacteria
Description: partial 16S ribosomal RNA
Rfam family: Bacterial small subunit ribosomal RNA
Source: RNAcentral
UACGUAGGUGGCAAGCGUUAUCCGGAUUUAUUGGGCGUAAAGGGAACGCAGGCGGUCUUUUAAGUCUGAUGUGAAAGCCUUCGGCUUAACCGGAGUAGUGCAUUGGAAACUGGGAGACUUGAGUGCAGAAGAGGAGGGUGGAACUCCAUGUGUAGCGGUGAAAUGCGUAGAUAUAUGGAAGAACACCAGUGGCGAAAGUGGCUCUCUGGUCUGUAACUGACGCUGAGGUUCGAAAGCGUGGGUAGCAAACAGG